CCAGAAGAUAGCUCAGUUGGGUAGAGCAGAAGGUAACCCCUUCGGGUCGCGGGUUCGAAUCCCGCUCUUUGAA
This 73-nucleotide transfer RNA is filed under the name Rudaea sp. RNAcentral describes it as "tRNA-Leu". It matches the Rfam family "tRNA". From Rfam's summary of the family: Transfer RNA (tRNA) molecules are approximately 80 nucleotides in length. Their secondary structure includes four short double-helical elements and three loops (D, anti-codon, and T loops). The record is from RNAcentral. Lineage: Bacteria; Pseudomonadati; Pseudomonadota; Gammaproteobacteria; Lysobacterales; Rhodanobacteraceae.